RNAcentral lists this long non-coding RNA (1017 nucleotides) under Gossypium barbadense (sea-island cotton). Its description in RNAcentral is "long non-coding RNA (GBAR_LNC009054)". The record is from RNAcentral. Lineage: Eukaryota; Viridiplantae; Streptophyta; Magnoliopsida; Malvales; Malvaceae.
UUUUCUAUAAAAUAUUUUACAUGUAAAAACGGAACUCAAGUACCAACUAGAUCCGAAAAAACAUUCAACUACCAAGUGCUUUUAAACAAAUUUAGAGAACAAACUACAUGUUAAUCCUAGAAAAAAAGACAGUUCAAUAUAAGCAAAAAUAAAAAUAAAAAAAUUCUCGUGAUUAAAAAUUAUCGGUUAAAGCAAAGGCCUGUUUAGGCUGAAGCAAAGGCAUGUUUACAGGCUGUCACCAUGGCGGAAGAAAUGGGUUUUCGCGAAAUAUGUGUUGAAGGAGAUGCGUUGACGGUCAUCAGAAAACUAACCCUUGCAACAGAAGACAGAUCAAGUAUUAGAAGCAUUAUUCAUGCAAUCAAGAAGAAAUCGUACAGAUUUAGCAGCAUACAGUUUCAAUAUGUACCAAGAGAAGCAAAUACGGUGGCGCAUGAAAUGGUGAUGGAAGGAAAGAAGUUCGAUGGUCCUCAAUACUGGAUGGAGAAGGUACAGUGCGCAGUGCAAGACUUGGUGAAUCGUGAAAGAAUCAGCACAAAUGGUGGACAAAAUGUUAGCGAUGAGUCCGGAUGCAACAAUGGCGGAUAGAUCCGAUGAACUCAAAAAUAGGGAGACUGGAAUCGGAAAAGUCAGAAGAUGCUAAUUCAUAGAAGAAGAGUCUCUUAUGCGACUGAUGCACAUAGAAGUCUGGGUAUAGAGAAAUGAAAAUGAGAUUUCAAAAUAGUGGUUUGUCUCUGUGUCGGUUUAAGGUCUUUACCAUGCUUUCAUUUGUUUUGUUUUUAAGUCUUUUUCUGCUUUAUCUUCCCAAUGCACCGAUUGGGGUGUUGGCAUUUAUUAGGUUCUUAACUAUUUCUAUUUUCAUUUUCUCAAUGCACCGGUUACGGUGCUUGGCAGAGUAGGUUAGCUAUAAAAUAUUAAUGCUUGCGUCUGAUUUUAGUUUUAUCCCAGUAAUAAAGGCAUCGGUUGAGGUUUUUUUUUUUUAAAAAAAAAUUAUUAUUAUCUCAUGUAUUGAGAUAUUUA